RNAcentral lists this ribosomal RNA (253 nucleotides) under uncultured bacterium. RNAcentral describes it as "partial 16S ribosomal RNA". It matches the Rfam family "Bacterial small subunit ribosomal RNA", at positions 524 to 776 of the family's 1533-position model. The record is from RNAcentral.
UACGAGUGGCCCAAGCGUUAUCCGGAAUUAUUGGGCGUAAAGGAUGUGUAGGUGGUUAUAUUAGUCUCGUGUCUAACCUCUCGGCUCAACCGGGAGACAGCACUGGAAACGGUAUGACUAGAGUAUGUUAGGGGUAAGCGGAACUCAUAGUGUAGGGGUGAAAUCCGUUGAUAUUAUGGGGAACACCAAAAGCGAAGGCAGCUUACUGGAACAUUACUGACACUGAAACAUGAAAGCGUGGGUAGCGAAUGGG